Molecule: long non-coding RNA, 630 nt
Filed under: Erythranthe guttata (spotted monkey flower)
Lineage: Eukaryota; Viridiplantae; Streptophyta; Magnoliopsida; Lamiales; Phrymaceae
Description: long non-coding RNA (EGUT_LNC003153)
Source: RNAcentral
UCCUUUAUCUCUCCUCAUUUUUCUUCAUCUUCUUCCUCUUUCUUUCUCCUCCUUUCCCCCUCUUCUUCUUUUCACGAGACACACUUUCUCUCUCCUUUUUCCUCAUCUUCUUCUUCUUCUUGUACUCUCUCUCUCUCUCCUCAUUUUUCCUCUUCUUCUUUGUACAAAUGGAAAAGAUCGUCACUCAUAUCAUCAACGGGAUUGAAGCCAUAUACACAUUAAUAUCUUUUUUUUUCUUACAAUAAAUCGCGUAAGAAAUUAAGAGAGAAAAAAACAACACCCAAUUUGUUUUGGGAUUAAUUUAUGCAAAUAUAUGUCAGAAUUUUUUGUUGAUUUGGACAAGAUUACAGUUUGUUGGGAACAAAGUAUGAAUUUUCAAAUUCUUCAUCUUCUUUCUUCUCUGUGUUUUUUUUUCUCUUUUUUUUCUUCUUGUUAUAUUUUAAUGAAGUUUUUUAGUAAAGUCGUUAAUGGAGGAUUCUAUUUCUUGAAACUGGGAGAACGGGAGAUCGAACUCCCACUAUGGUUGACAAAGUGUGGUGUGGCGACGGUGUGGUGAUGAUGGGGAGGCAGAUUUAUGGUUUUUUGUUGGAUUGGGCGGAUAACGGCGCGUGUAGAGAAUUUCGCGCAGGC